GGAUCAGUGAUGACUGCCAGUUAACAUUCCUUGGAAAGCUGAAGAAAAUGAGUGAAAACUUACUACCUUUCCUUUCAUUGAAAAUUAGGUCC
Molecule: small nucleolar RNA, 92 nt
Organism: Psammomys obesus (fat sand rat)
Lineage: Eukaryota; Metazoa; Chordata; Mammalia; Rodentia; Muridae
Product: small nucleolar RNA SNORD116
Exons: 1
Source: RefSeq, a predicted model, not a curated record